CGCUGGCGGCAGGCCUAACACAUGCAAGUCGAGCGGAAACGAGUUAUCUGAACCUUCGGGGAACGAUAACGGCGUCGAGCGGCGGACGGGUGAGUAAUGCCUAGGAAAUUGCCCUGAUGUGGGGGAUAACCAUUGGAAACGAUGGCUAAUACCGCAUGAUGCCUACGGGCCAAAGAGGGGGACCUUCGGGCCUCUCGCGUCAGGAUAUGCCUAGGUGGGAUUAGCUAGUUGGUGAGGUAAGGGCUCACCAAGGCGACGAUCCCUAGCUGGUCUGAGAGGAUGAUCAGCCACACUGGAACUGAGACACGGUCCAGACUCCUACGGGAGGCAGCAGUGGGGAAUAUUGCACAAUGGGCGCAAGCCUGAUGCAGCCAUGCCGCGUGUGUGAAGAAGGCCUUCGGGUUGUAAAGUACUUUCAGUCGUGAGGAAGGUAGUGUAGUUAAUAGCUGCAUUAUUUGACGUUAGCGACAGAAGAAGCACCGGCUAACUCCGUGCCAGCAGCCGCGGUAAUACGGAGGGUGCGAGCGUUAAUCGGAAUUACUGGGCGUAAAGCGCAUGCAGGUGGUUUGUUAAGUCAGAUGUGAAAGCCCGGGGCUCAACCUCGGAAUAGCAUUUGAAACUGGCAGACUAGAGUACUGUAGAGGGGGGUAGAAUUUCAGGUGUAGCGGUGAAAUGCGUAGAGAUCUGAAGGAAUACCGGUGGCGAAGGCGGCCCCCUGGACAGAUACUGACACUCAGAUGCGAAAGCGUGGGGAGCAAACAGGAUUAGAUACCCUGGUAGUCCACGCCGUAAACGAUGUCUACUUGGAGGUUGUGGCCUUGAGCCGUGGCUUUCGGAGCUAACGCGUUAAGUAGACCGCCUGGGGAGUACGGUCGCAAGAUUAAAACUCAAAUGAAUUGACGGGGGCCCGCACAAGCGGUGGAGCAUGUGGUUUAAUUCGAUGCAACGCGAAGAACCUUACCUACUCUUGACAUCCAGAGAACUUUCCAGAGAUGGAUUGGUGCCUUCGGGAACUCUGAGACAGGUGCUGCAUGGCUGUCGUC
Molecule: ribosomal RNA, 1043 nt
Filed under: Vibrio alginolyticus
Lineage: Bacteria; Pseudomonadati; Pseudomonadota; Gammaproteobacteria; Vibrionales; Vibrionaceae
Description: bacterial SSU rRNA
Rfam family: Bacterial small subunit ribosomal RNA
Source: RNAcentral